UUUGGUUAAGUUAGAAAGGGCGCACGGUGGAUGCCUUGACACUAGGAGUCGAUGAAGGACGGGACUAACGCCGAUAUGCUUCGGGGAGCUGUAAGUAAGCUUUGAUCCGAAGAUUUCCGAAUGGGGAAACCCACCAUACGUAAUGGUAUGGUAUCCUUAUCUGAAUACAUAGGGUAAGGAAGACAGACCCAGGGAACUGAAACAUCUAAGUACCUGGAGGAAGAGAAAGCAAAUGCGAUUUCCUGAGUAGCGGCGAGCGAAACGGAACAUAGCCCAAACCAAGAGGCUUGCCUCUUGGGGUUGUAGGACAUUCUAUACGGAGUUACAAAGGAACGAGGUAGACGAAGCGACCUGGAAAGGUCCGUCGUAGAGGGUAACAACCCCGUAGUCGAAACUUCGUUCUCUCUUGAAUGUAUCCUGAGUACGGCGGAACACGUGAAAUUCCGUCGGAAUCUGGGAGGACCAUCUCCCAAGGCUAAAUACUCCCUAGUGAUCGAUAGUGAACCAGUACCGUGAGGGAAAGGUGAAAAGCACCCCGGAAGGGGAGUGAAAGAGAUCCUGAAACCGUGUGCCUACAAAUAGUCAGAGCCCGUUAAUGGGUGAUGGCGUGCCUUUUGUAGAAUGAACCGGCGAGUUACGAUCCCGUGCGAGGUUAAGCUGAAGAGGCGGAGCCGCAGCGAAAGCGAGUCUGAAUAGGGCGUUUAGUACGUGGUCGUAGACCCGAAACCAGGUGAUCUACCCAUGUCCAGGGUGAAGUUCAGGUAACACUGAAUGGAGGCCCGAACCCACGCACGUUGAAAAGUGCGGGGAUGAGGUGUGGGUAGCGGAGAAAUUCCAAUCGAACCUGGAGAUAGCUGGUUCUCCCCGAAAUAGCUUUAGGGCUAGCCUUAAGUGUAAGAGUCUUGGAGGUAGAGCACUGAUUGGACUAGGGGUCCUCAUCGGAUUACCGAAUUCAGUCAAACUCCGAAUGCCAAUGACUUAUCCUUAGGAGUCAGACUGCGAGUGAUAAGAUCCGUAGUCAAAAGGGAAACAGCCCAGACCGCCAGCUAAGGUCCCAAAGUGUGUAUUAAGUGGAAAAGGAUGUGGAGUUGCUUAGACAACUAGGAUGUUGGCUUAGAAGCAGCCACCAUUUAAAGAGUGCGUAAUAGCUCACUAGUCGAGUGACUCUGCGCCGAAAAUGUACCGGGGCUAAAUACACCACCGAAGCUGCGGAUUGAUACCAAUGGUAUCAGUGGUAGGGGAGCGUUCUAAGGACAGUGAAGUCAGACCGUAAGGACUGGUGGAGUGCUUAGAAGUGAGAAUGCCGGUAUGAGUAGCGAAAGACGGGUGAGAAUCCCGUCCACCGAAUGCCUAAGGUUUCCUGAGGAAGGCUCGUCCGCUCAGGGUUAGUCAGGACCUAAGCCGAGGCCGACAGGCGUAGGCGAUGGACAACAGGUUGAUAUUCCUGUACCACCUCUUUAUCGUUUGAGCAAUGGAGGGACGCAGAAGGAUAGAAGAAGCGUGCGAUUGGUUGUGCACGUCCAAGCAGUUAGGCUGAUAAGUAGGCAAAUCCGCUUAUCGUGAAGGCUGAGCUGUGAUGGGGAAGCUCCUUAUGGAGCGAAGUCUUUGAUUCCCCGCUGCCAAGAAAAGCUUCUAGCGAGAUAAAAGGUGCCUGUACCGCAAACCGACACAGGUAGGCGAGGAGAGAAUCCUAAGGUGUGCGAGAGAACUCUGGUUAAGGAACUCGGCAAAAUGACCCCGUAACUUCGGGAGAAGGGGUGCUUUCUUAACGGAAAGCCGCAGUGAAUAGGCCCAAGCGACUGUUUAGCAAAAACACAGCUCUCUGCGAAGCCGUAAGGCGAAGUAUAGGGGGUGACACCUGCCCGGUGCUGGAAGGUUAAGGAGAGGGGUUAGCGUAAGCGAAGCUCUGAACUGAAGCCCCAGUAAACGGCGGCCGUAACUAUAACGGUCCUAAGGUAGCGAAAUUCCUUGUCGGGUAAGUUCCGACCCGCACGAAAGGUGUAACGAUUUGGGCACUGUCUCAACCAGAGACUCGGUGAAAUUAUAGUACCUGUGAAGAUGCAGGUUACCCGCGACAGGACGGAAAGACCCCGUGGAGCUUUACUGUAGCCUGAUAUUGAAUUUUGGUACAGUUUGUACAGGAUAGGCGGGAGCCUUUGAAACCGGAGCGCUAGCUUCGGUGGAGGCGCUGGUGGGAUACCGCCCUGACUGUAUUGAAAUUCUAACCUACGGGUCUUAUCGACCCGGGAGACAGUGUCAGGUGGGCAGUUUGACUGGGGCGGUCGCCUCCUAAAGUGUAACGGAGGCGCCCAAAGGUUCCCUCAGAAUGGUUGGAAAUCAUUCGUAGAGUGCAAAGGCAUAAGGGAGCUUGACUGCGAGACCUACAAGUCGAGCAGGGACGAAAGUCGGGCUUAGUGAUCCGGUGGUUCCGCAUGGAAGGGCCAUCGCUCAACGGAUAAAAGCUACCCCGGGGAUAACAGGCUUAUCUCCCCCAAGAGUCCACAUCGACGGGGAGGUUUGGCACCUCGAUGUCGGCUCAUCGCAUCCUGGGGCUGUAGUCGGUCCCAAGGGUUGGGCUGUUCGCCCAUUAAAGCGGUACGCGAGCUGGGUUCAGAACGUCGUGAGACAGUUCGGUCCCUAUCCGUCGUGGGCGUAGGAAAUUUGAGAGGAGCUGUCCUUAGUACGAGAGGACCGGGAUGGACGCACCGCUGGUGUACCAGUUGUUCUGCCAAGGGCAUAGCUGGGUAGCUAUGUGCGGAAGGGAUAAGUGCUGAAAGCAUCUAAGCAUGAAGCCCCCCUCAAGAUGAGAUUUCCCAUAGCGUAAGCUAGUAAGAUCCCUGAAAGAUGAUCAGGUUGAUAGGUUCGAGGUGGAAGCAUGGUGACAUGUGGAGCUGACGAAUACUAAUAGAUCGAGGACUUAGCCAU
This 2925-nucleotide ribosomal RNA is filed under the name Bacillus sp. AFS015896. RNAcentral describes it as "bacterial LSU rRNA". It matches the Rfam family "Bacterial large subunit ribosomal RNA". Lineage: Bacteria; Bacillati; Bacillota; Bacilli; Caryophanales; Bacillaceae. The record is from RNAcentral.